This 429-nucleotide ribosomal RNA is filed under the name Bacteroidota bacterium. Its description in RNAcentral is "Bacteroidetes bacterium partial 16S ribosomal RNA". It matches the Rfam family "Bacterial small subunit ribosomal RNA", at positions 355 to 776 of the family's 1533-position model. Lineage: Bacteria; Pseudomonadati; Bacteroidota. The record is from RNAcentral.
UAGGGAAUCUUCGGCAAUGGGGGGAACCCUGACCGAGCAACGCCGCGUGAGUGAAGAAGGUUUUCGGAUCGUAAAGCUCUGUUGUUAAGGAAGAACGAGUGUGAGAAUGGAAAGUUCAUGCUGUGACGGUACUUAACCAGAAAGGGACGGCUAACUACGUGCCAGCAGCCGCGGUAAUACGUAGGUCCCGAGCGUUGUCCGGAUUUAUUGGGCGUAAAGCGAGCGCAGGCGGUUAGAAAAGUCUGAAGUGAAAGGCAGUGGCUCAACCAUUGUAGGCUUUGGAAACUGGUUGACUUGAGUGCAGAAGAGGAGAGUGGAAUUCCAUGUGUAGCGGUGAAAUGCGUAGAUAUAUGGAGGAACACCAGUGGCGAAGGCGACUCUCUGGUCUGUAACUGACGCUGAGGUUCGAAAGCGUGGGUAGCAAACAGG